This 211-nucleotide non-coding RNA is filed under the name Fragilariopsis kerguelensis. Lineage: Eukaryota; Bacillariophyta; Bacillariophyceae; Bacillariales; Bacillariaceae. The record is from RNAcentral.
AGAGUGGUGGUGGUGAUAGUGAUCGGGAGUUCUACCAGCAGGUGGUAGUGGCUGCCACUGCUGGGAGGAUCUAAACCCACAAAAAUAAUUUCUAGUACGAAUCAAUCAAUGUUUUCUCUAAAAAAUCGUGUUCCACAAUCAAAGAAAAAAUCUUCCUGCAUUCCAUUUAUUAUUAGUACACAUGCACAUACACACAUACAUACACACACAC